CCCAAACCACCCACAAGCCCCACUCUCACAAACCUCUCCCCCCAUUUUCCAAACACACACACACGACACCAAAUACACACACACACGACACAAAUACACACACACACGACACAAACACAUACACUAUAUAUAACACACACAUGCACAACCGGAAAGAAAGAAAAGAGAAAACAACAAAGAAGCAAAAGGAAAGAAAACAGAAAAGGCAAGAACAAGAAACAAAAAAAAAAACAGAAGAGAAAAAGAUUGAAAAAAAAAAA
This 260-nucleotide long non-coding RNA is filed under the name Capsicum annuum. Its description in RNAcentral is "long non-coding RNA (CANN_LNC003275)". The record is from RNAcentral. Lineage: Eukaryota; Viridiplantae; Streptophyta; Magnoliopsida; Solanales; Solanaceae.